Non-coding RNA from Paramuricea clavata, 885 nucleotides. NCBI's taxonomy places the organism in Eukaryota, Metazoa, Cnidaria, Anthozoa, Malacalcyonacea, Plexauridae. The record is from the annotation of a GenBank genome assembly.
CACUAUAGUACACGUCUUGUUGAAGUGAAGUCAUCUAUGUUUACAGUGCCCUAGAUGCAAAGCUGUGUUUCACAAGCAAUGCAAAAUUGAACGCCAAUGCCCAAGAUGUUUACGACGACGCUCUCGCCGUCAAAUUCCCGAAGAUUCAACGACUGAGCGCGAACAGUCCAAUGCUGAUCUAAAUUCCCUGUUUUGAAAAGGUUAGUCACGUUUAUAUACUUUUGUUGAAAUCGCGACGUACAGUACUCCGCGCAUCCGCGAUACUGUUCGUGUACUGUUCAAAUUUUGUGCGACUUGAAACGGAAUUCGAACAAAAUUAGAAAAUCGCGGUGAUUGAUUGAAAGUGCCCUCUAAAUAGAUAAGUUAAAAAUCAGAUGGCUUAAAGACAGAGGCUUAAAGAUAUACUUUGUUUAAUUAAAAAAAUUCUGACUAUAUGUUUAACAAUUCUCUGUAUAACAUCGCACUAUUUUGUUGAAAAAUUAUCAAUAAAUUGGGAUUGGGGCUAAGAGUUUUAAAUAAUCAUAAUUAUAGCUUCUUAUUCAAAAAAUUAGAUUGAAAUUACUCAUACAUAUUAAGAAAAAACUAGAAUAAAAACAUACAUAUGUAACUAUGUAUAAUAUUAGUUUAAGUUACUAUAACAUUCUUGUACUCCUGAUCAUUUCAAAUUCCUAGCUCUAUUAGUUUUGAAAUUUGGUAACUAGAAUUUCGUUUGGAAGUCUGGGAUCUAGUGUUGUUAAGUAUUGACAUGAUGGUAUCACAUUGUUCAAGAUUGCAUUCUUGUUGGUGUUCAAGGCUCUUCAUGAAUCAAGACUCAGCCGCGCAGUACAUAAUAGAUUUGAUGACUGUCAAACCCGAGGUUGGAAUGUUCUCCCAUGAUGUACGAAA